GAUGAACGCUAGCGGCAGGCUUAAUACAUGCAAGUCGAGGGGGAUCAGUUGGGUAGCAAUACCUGGCUGUGAGACCGGCAAACGGGUGAGGAACACGUACGCAACUUUCCCAAAACUGGUGAAUAGCCCUCCGAAAGGAGGAUUAAUACACCGUAACAUAACGAAAUGGCAUCAUUUUGUUAUUAUAGCAGCAAUGCGGUUUUGGAUAGGCGUGCGCCUGAUUAGGUAGUUGGCGGGGUAACGGCCCACCAAGCCUACGAUCAGUAACUGGUGUGAGAGCACGACCAGUCACACGGGCACUGAGACACGGGCCAGACUCCUACGGGAGGCAGCAGUAAGGAAUAUUGCGCAAUGGGCGAAAGCCUGACGCAGCGACGCCGCGUGGGGGAUGAAGGUCUUCGGAUUGUAAACCCCUUUCGGGAGGGAAGAUGGAGCGAGCAAUCGUUCGGACGGUACCUCCAGAAGCAGCCACGGCCAACUUCGUGCCAGCAGCCGCGGU
This 499-nucleotide ribosomal RNA is filed under the name uncultured bacterium. RNAcentral's name for it is "bacterial SSU rRNA". It matches the Rfam family "Bacterial small subunit ribosomal RNA", at positions 28 to 521 of the family's 1533-position model. The record is from RNAcentral.